UAGGGAAUCUUCGGCAAUGGACGAAAGUCUGACCGAGCAACGCCGCGUGAGUGAAGAAGGUUUUCGGAUCGUAAAACUCUGUUGUUAGAGAAGAACAAGGACGUUAGUAACUGAACGUCCCCUGACGGUAUCUAACCAGAAAGCCACGGCUAACUCCGUGCCAGCAGCCGCGGUAAUACGGAGGGUGCAAGCGUUAAUCGGAAUUACUGGGCGUAAAGCGCACGCAGGCGGUUUGUUAAGUCAGAUGUGAAAUCCCCGGGCUCAACCUGGGAACUGCAUCAGAUACUGGCAAGCGUGAGUCUCGUAGAGGGGGGUAGAAUUCCAGGUGUAGCGAUGAAAUGCGUAGAGAUCUGGAGGAAUACCGGUGGCGAAGGCGGCCCCCUGGACGAAGACUGACGCUCAGGUGCGAAAGCGUGGCGAGCAAACAGG
RNAcentral lists this ribosomal RNA (429 nucleotides) under Chloroflexota bacterium. Its description in RNAcentral is "Chloroflexi bacterium partial 16S ribosomal RNA". It matches the Rfam family "Bacterial small subunit ribosomal RNA", at positions 355 to 776 of the family's 1533-position model. The record is from RNAcentral. Lineage: Bacteria; Bacillati; Chloroflexota.